This 1281-nucleotide long non-coding RNA is filed under the name Homo sapiens (human). Its description in RNAcentral is "long non-coding RNA NONHSAT223019.1". Lineage: Eukaryota; Metazoa; Chordata; Mammalia; Primates; Hominidae. The record is from RNAcentral.
CUUUAUUCCUCUCCAUGUAAUUCAGGACAAGCUGCAACUUCCCCCAGCUUAACACAAUGCCCAUACCUCAUACGAUAUGCGCCCUCCCGUUCCAUCCCUGGCCCCCUCAAACGAGACUUCUCACAAGGCUGAUUACAGAUGGUCAAACCUGGCUUCCAAGGACAGAAUUGCCUCUCGGAAGCCAGCUGUGGAUCUGAGUCCAGAGUUGGCCACUUGUGUGGGUCCUCACAAGCAAAGAGAGCACUAAACUUGACAUUGGGGGUCCACCACUCCAACUUUGCUUUCUGAAGGUUUUGGUGUACAUUGAGCCCCAGAAGGAAAGGAGAGUAUCUGUGAGUGGGGGCCUCCCUUGACCCCAGUACGAAGUCUAUGCCCUGAAUCCCCAGAGUAGCCCUUCCUGGUGCCCAACUGGCCUGGGGACAAACAGCGUCCACUACAUCUAGGACUGCCGGCUAAGUGGACACACUUCUUGACCUCCUACCAGGAACUUUGGUAAAAGCUAGCUUUGGGGAAGGGGUUGGGUGUAAAUAUGAGAGGGUGGAGGGAGACCAGCUGGUAGCAAUAAACAUGGGUAGAACUAAAUUACCGUCUCCAGUUAUCUUUUCUAUGGAGAGAGUGUUGUGGGGAGGGGCAGACCGGUCUCCUUCAAAGCUGGCCUCAGCAAAGUGUCCCUCACUGUCCUUUCAGGUCCAUCUUUCCCUUCCCUUAAAUGUUCAGUGCCCUUGACUCUGCUGACCUAAAGCUCCAGUCUGAAGCCCUAGCUGGCUCUGCCCUCCCCUCUAACCAGCCCUCCUCAGAACAAGGCUCAAGCUCCCAUGACCACGGGCUUUGCUGGGGUCCAAGAGGUGUAGGGGGGAAUGGCUAUUUCCCUCAUCCAAUAACUGUUCAUUUUAACAGGGCCCUUAAAGACCUUCACCCGUGUGAAGAAAGGCCUGCACUGAGGAGCUGUCCAGGAUCUAAGAGGGGGAGAUUUGGGGUCAGCAUGGCCUUUCCUCUGAAGUCACCUUUUCCUGGCCCCCACCCUGUACCCACUAAAGCAGUGCCAUCUCCUGGGAGAAAAGGAGAACAUAUACAUAGAAUAAAGACUAUGAAGAUCUGCACCAAAUGACUACUACUGGUGAUCUUGUGAGGCGUGUGGGGUGGGACUAGGGGAGUGAGGGAGAAAAAUGCUCACUUUCUACAUUCUUCUUUUAUUUGCACUUCAAAAGUAUUAUUUUUAUAUCUAUGAAGAAAAGGAAACUGCAUUUCAAUUUUUGAAAAAAAAAAUAAAACUAAAUUAAC